CAGCAGUCGCCGCGGUAAUACGGAGGGGGCUAGCGUUGUUCGGAAUUACUGGGCGUAAAGCGCACGUAGGCGGCUUUGUAAGUUAGAGGUGAAAGCCUGGAGCUCAACUCCAGAAUUGCCUUUAAGACUGCAUCGCUUGAAUCGCGGAGAGGUGAGUGGAAUUCCGAGUGUAGAGGUGAAAUUCGUAGAUAUUCGGAAGAACACCAGUGGCGAAGGCGGCUCACUGGACGCGUAUUGACGCUGAGGUGCGAAAGCGUGGGGAGCAAACAGGAUUAGAUACCCCCGUAGUCCCUGUCUCUUAUAC
This 304-nucleotide ribosomal RNA is filed under the name uncultured bacterium. RNAcentral's name for it is "partial 16S ribosomal RNA". It matches the Rfam family "Bacterial small subunit ribosomal RNA", at positions 509 to 807 of the family's 1533-position model. The record is from RNAcentral.